RNAcentral lists this long non-coding RNA (1657 nucleotides) under Ananas comosus (pineapple). RNAcentral describes it as "long non-coding RNA (ACOM_LNC040162)". The record is from RNAcentral. Lineage: Eukaryota; Viridiplantae; Streptophyta; Magnoliopsida; Poales; Bromeliaceae.
CUGUCACGCCCCAGGACCCUGCGGGAGCCCGCCCGGCGCGUGCCCAGACCCGCCAUACGUCUAAAACGUAUAAGGCGUCUAAAAACAACAAUAAAUGAAGCAAUAAUAAAAGAUAUCUAGGAGUAUCAGAGCAUAAUGAAUGUCUAAAUGCUACAACAAGGGAUAAGGAUAAAACUGUAAAUCCACUAAAUAAAACAUAAAGUGAUCCAAGGAAAAUCCCAAAUACAAGUGCUAUAGGUAGAUACAUAGGUGGUCUCUAUACAUGGAUACAAAAACUCUCACUCUCUCAACUACAAAAAGAAAGUGUAAACCACCUAGGCAAAGUACCGCUCCCCGCUAGCUAGCUAAGCGAUCCCCUUGCCGCCAUCCCGUGCCUCCGCCGAUGCCGAAGGCUCUGAAAAGUAAACCAUAAAACAGGGACGUGAGAAUUAUUAAAAAAUAGUUCCCAGUGGGCAAUUACUGACUUCAGUGAAUGCACCACAAGGCCCAAAGCUAUAAAAGAGGUCAGUGACUAUAAAAGUAGAAAAGCGAAAAGUAAGUAAAAAUGUAACUUACUACAAUAUGAUAUCUCUACUUAGCAUAAUUAACAUAAGUACGAAGCAACUAUGCAUGAAGUAAAAGUCUCCAACUAUCAUAAUGUUCACAAUGCGAAAUAGUAAAGUGCCGAUGUUUACCAUUCUAGUCAAUGUCCAAGUAAUACACUAAGUCAUCAUCUGUCCACAUGUCAUAAUGAACACUCAAAGUCAAAUCUGAAGAGACCCACCCGAAGGCUGUCUAUGGCCCUGAGACCCACCCGUAGGCUGUCUGGCCGGUGCCGAGCCUAAUGGCCCCGUGGUAGUCAUCAUCCCCACCCUAGGAAUGAGCCUGUCCCACGGCAAUCCACUUCGGCGCCCAAUCCCGCACGGCGAAUAUGAAUCGCGAUGGCUAUCUCCGGAGUGCCGGCUUGUAGGGAGCGACCCUCACAAGCAUGUGCGAAUGAGCACAAUGGCAAGUAGUCAAACGAUCUGUCGCAAGUACCAAGUCCUCAUGUCUAAUAACAUGGAAUGUGUCAAGUAUCUCAAUGGCCUAUCCCUAUGUCAUCAUGUCUCUAACAUGGAAUAUAGCAGAUAUGGAGUGGCCUAUCAAUAUGUCUCUAUGUUGUAGUUUCAUAGUUUACUAGUCUCAAGUGCCCCUUGAUGACACUCUUGUUCUCUAUGUCAAAGCAUGGCAACUAUGUUCCAAAGUACAUAUUCCAAGUCAUAAUCCUCAUAAGAGAUGUAUUUUCCACUUGCAAAAUAAACACUUUUCCCAUAUGCAUGCAUUCUACUCAUAUAGCUCUACCAUAUAGUGAAAUUUUCAUAAUACACAAGGCAUGCAUUUUAAGUGCUCUAAAAUUCAUAUAAAUCCCAUUUAGCAUAGAAAUGAAUUUAAAAAUAUUUUACAACAAGUAGAAAGAGCAUAGGGGCCAUUUCGCCCCAUUUCCCCGAAGCCAAACCCACCGUCAUCAACGAAAGAUUUCGUUUGCCACGACGAAGGCGUCCACCACUCUCUUAGUACCCUAAAGGUAUGAGAACAUGUGUCAUCUAGUCGAAACGAACGACGCUAAGUUCAAUCUUUAAGCUAUUCAAGCAUAGGUGGAGGAAAACUCACCUCUAGUGCAAAAUCUCCUCUAAAGCUC